This 253-nucleotide ribosomal RNA is filed under the name uncultured bacterium. Its description in RNAcentral is "partial 16S ribosomal RNA". It matches the Rfam family "Bacterial small subunit ribosomal RNA", at positions 524 to 776 of the family's 1533-position model. The record is from RNAcentral.
UACAGAGGUCCCAAGCGUUGUUCGGAUUCACUGGGCGUAAAGGGUGCGUAGGCGGUCGGGUAAGUCUGGCGUGAAAUCCCCAAGCCUAACUUGGAAACUGCGUUGGAUACUAUCCGGCUCGAGGAAUGGAGGGGAGACUGGAAUACUUGGUGUAGCAGUGAAAUGCGUAGAUAUCAAGUGGAACACCAGUGGCGAAGGCGAGUCUCUGGACAUUUCCUGACGCUGAGGCACGAAAGCCAGGGGAGCAAACGGG